AGUGAACGCUGGCGGUAGGCCUAACACAUGCAAGUCGAACGGCAGCACAGUAAGAGCUUGCUCUUACGGGUGGCGAGUGGCGGACGGGUGAGGAAUACAUCGGAAUCUACUUUUUCGUGGGGGAUAACGUAGGGAAACUUACGCUAAUACCGCAUACGACCUACGGGUGAAAGCAGGGGAUCUUCGGACCUCGCGCGAUUGAAUGAGCCGAUGUCGGAUUAGCUAGUUGGCGGGGUAAAGGCCCACCAAGGCGACGAUCCGUAGCUGGUCUGAGAGGAUGAUCAGCCACACUGGAACUGAGACACGGUCCAGACUCCUACGGGAGGCAGCAGUGGGGAAUAUUGGAAAAUGGGCGCAAGCCUGAUCCAGCCAUACCGCGUGGGUGAAGAAGGCCUUCGGGUUGUAAAGCCCUUUUGUUGGGAAAGAAAAGCAGCAGGUUAAUACCCCGCUGUUCUGACGGUACCCAAAGAAUAAGCACCGGCUAACUUCGUG
RNAcentral lists this ribosomal RNA (492 nucleotides) under uncultured bacterium. RNAcentral describes it as "partial 16S ribosomal RNA". It matches the Rfam family "Bacterial small subunit ribosomal RNA", at positions 29 to 507 of the family's 1533-position model. The record is from RNAcentral.